UCCAAAGAUUUGACAUAGCGGUGUCUCCUGUAAACAAUGGACAAUGGCGAAGCGGACUAUCAGUUCGUACUUUCUUCCUAAACCUCAUGAUAUAGAGAAGACAAAUCCCGAGAAUGAGUCCGACUCAGAUUGUGAGGAAACGGUCGCGGCGGAAAAAGGCAGGAAAUUCAGCUUUCGCGAUGAGUGGCUGCGCGAGUUCACCCGGCUGAGGUAUUUCAGGGAGACCAAUUCAAUGAACUGUAAAUUCUGCUGUCGAUUCCCACAACAUGCGGGGAACACGAAAUGUGCUGAUAAGACUGGCACUACACAAUUAAAACACGACACGCUGAUCAAACACAACGCCAGUCUGAAACAUCAAAUGUGCCGCGACCCGUGCAAUGAAAGUGCAGCUCCACUCCCAGUCGCAUUUAGAAGACAAGAGGCUGCUAACCAGUGCGCCGAGGAGGCCGAAUUGCGAUUGAAGUUUAACACGGCGUAUUUCAUUGCCAAAGAAGAACUGCCUUUUACGAAAUUUAAAGGCCAACUUGAUCUACAAAGGAAGAAUGGUGUCAAACUAAACGCAACAUACAAUAACGACACAGCAUGCGCACAGUUUGUUGGCAUCAUCGCAGAUACACUGAAACGGAAGACGUACGAGAAGAUUAAGGACGCUCCUUAUCUGUCAAUCAUGAUUGAUGGGGACACAGAUACGUCAACAAAAGAGUGUGAAAUCAUAUAUGCCAGGAUCCUGCAACAAGGGAAACCAACAAAUGUUUUGAUUGGCCACAUCGAAGUGCAACAUGCACAUGCUCACGGUGUAUAUGAUGCCACCAAAGAGGCCUUCAAGAAACUAGGGACAGAAACAGGGUGGUUAGACAAGACAGUUGCCAUGUCAGUGAGAUGCAAGCCAGGUGGUAGGCGAGCAGAAUUACUGGCAGACCGUCAGGCCCAGAGAAGACAACAAGAGAGUGAUGGUGAGGCUCACCCUUUGUACAAAUAUCAGGGGGUCACCAUCAAAGGAGAAGUCUCUGGUCUGGGAGCAGAUGGACUCUCAAUGGAAAGCACACCUCAGCUGCAACAGUCGAGUGCACUGUGCUGCACCUGAAGCAGAGGUUCAGCAGUCUACUUGAUGAAGGGUCCUCAUUAGCAACAACGAGGGCAGUGAGGUCAUUCAAAAUAUUAAAUCACGAUUCCUGGCCUGAACAAAGACAUCUCCUGACAGAUUAUGGUGCAGAGGAGCUGGACUUCCUGCUGGACCACUUCUCCCCCAUCCUAACAAGAAAUGCCUGUGAUACCAAGCUGGCAAGAGAGGAGUAUCAGUCGAUGAACAUUUCCAUUGUUACAAACUAUAUGGACAAGUCAUACCAUGCCCUGUGGGGGAUGAUGUUGACCAAAAUGCCGUUCUGCUCCGACUACAAAGUAAAUAUGAUAUUCUCAUUAAUUUAAUUGGCAUAUGACUUUUUGAUUGACUGAAACCUAAACUAUUAUUCUAUUCUUUGGAGAACAUCCUACAUCUUGUACACAUGAUGCUUGCACUCCCAGUGUCUUCUGCUAUGUGCGAGAGAGGAUUCUCUUCCCAGAAGAGGAUUAAGUCAGAUGUCAGGGGGUCUCUUCAUGUAGACACUGUUGAGGACUUCAUCAGAAUUAGUGUGGAGGGACCGAACAUCGAUGAUUUUGAUGCCAAAGAGGCUGUUGACAUGUGGCUCAAUCAAGGAGGCCUAAUUACAAGGGCUGGCCAACACAGGCACCUUCUCCCCCACCAAGGGGUGAUCUUUUGUAGGAAGUGUUAAUGCACAAGUUAUGUCUACAACUUGUUCUGUUGUUGUCAGUAGAGCAUAAAUAUUCGUUUUGUAUUUUUAAGCUGUAUAACUGGUGUAUGUUAUUAAAACUAUUGCACAAGUUUAUAAGAUUGUAUAUUGUCAAAUUAUUUAUCAGUAAUACAGUAAAAAUGAUGGGAAAACUUUGCAAGUCGAUUUAUAGUGUGCGCCCCUAAAUUUUCUGCUUGCGCCCCUACAAUUUUAAGUUAGGGGCCACUGUGCUCCUUGUAAAAAAAGUUAGUCUGGAGCCCUGAUGUCUGUAUUGGGUCGGCUGUAACUCAGUGGGGAUUCGUCCAGUAACCAGAAGGUACCCGGUUCGAUUCCCCGCUCUCCCCAUAGUUGCGUGUCGAAGUGUCCUUGAGCAAGACACUGAACCCCCAGUUGCUCCCUGGGGGCUUUACUGCAGCCCACUGCUCCUUAAUAUCCCAGGAUGGGUCAAAUACAGAGAAGAAUGUACCCACUGGGAUAAAGAAAGGAUAUAUUAUAUUAUUACCUUCGCAUUGAA
This is an RNA transcript of Pseudoliparis swirei, 2301 nucleotides long. It is a transcript of the gene named zinc finger protein 862-like, with no coding region annotated. The transcript is spliced from 5 exons. The record is from RefSeq and is a predicted model, not a curated record. Lineage: Eukaryota; Metazoa; Chordata; Actinopteri; Perciformes; Liparidae.